GGGUUGUGAGGUUAAGCGACUAAGCGUACACGGUGGAUGCCCUGGCAGUCAGAGGCGAUGAAGGACGUGCUAAUCUGCGAAAAGCGUCGGUAAGGUGAUAUGAACCGUUACAGCCGGCGAUGUCCGAAUGGGGAAACCCAGUGCAAUUCGUUGCACUAUCGUUAACUGAAUACAUAGGUUAACGAGGCGAACCGGGGGAACUGAAACAUCUAAGUACCCCGAGGAAAAGAAAUCAACCGAGAUUCCCCCAGUAGCGGCGAGCGAACGGGGAGCAGCCCAGAGUCUGAAUCAGCUUGUGUGUUAGUGGAACGGUCUGGAAAGUCCGACGGUACAGGGUGAUAGUCCCGUACACCAAAAUGCACAGGCUGUGAACUCGAAGAGUAGGGCGGGACACGUGGUAUCCUGUCUGAAUAUGGGGGGACCAUCCUCCAAGGCUAAAUACUCCUGACUGACCGAUAGUGAACCAGUACCGUGAGGGAAAGGCGAAAAGAACCCCGGCGAGGGGAGUGAAAAAGAACCUGAAACCGUGUACGUACAAGCAGUGGGAGCACCUUCGGGUGUGACUGCGUACCUUUUGUAUAAUGGGUCAGCGACUUAUAUUCUGUAGCAAGGUUAACCGUAUAGGGGAGCCGCAGGGAAACCGAGUCUUAACUGGGCGUUAAGUUGCAGGGUAUAGACCCGAAACCCGGUGAUCUAGCCAUGGGCAGGUUGAAGGUUGGGUAACACUAACUGGAGGACCGAACCGACUAAUGUUGAAAAAUUAGCGGAUGACUUGUGGCUGGGGGUGAAAGGCCAAUCAAACCGGGAGAUAGCUGGUUCUCCCCGAAAGCUAUUUAGGUAGCGCCUCGUGAACUCAUCUUCGGGGGUAGAGCACUGUUUCGGCUAGGGGGUCAUCCCGACUUACCAACCCGAUGCAAACUACGAAUACCGAAGAAUGUUAUCACGGGAGACACACGGCGGGUGCUAACGUCCGUCGUGAAGAGGGAAACAACCCAGACCGCCAGCUAAGGUCCCAAAGUCAUGGUUAAGUGGGAAACGAUGUGGGAAGGCACAGACAGCCAGGAUGUUGGCUUAGAAGCAGCCAUCAUUUAAAGAAAGCGUAAUAGCUCACUGGUCGAGUCGGCCUGCGCGGAAGAUGUAACGGGGCUAAACCAUGCACCGAAGCUGCGGCAGCGACACUAUGUGUUGUUGGGUAGGGGAGCGUUCUGUAAGCCUGCGAAGGUGUGCUGUGAGGCAUGCUGGAGGUAUCAGAAGUGCGAAUGCUGACAUAAGUAACGAUAAAGCGGGUGAAAAGCCCGCUCGCCGGAAGACCAAGGGUUCCUGUCCAACGUUAAUCGGGGCAGGGUGAGUCGACCCCUAAGGCGAGGCCGAAAGGCGUAGUCGAUGGGAAACAGGUUAAUAUUCCUGUACUUGGUGUUACUGCGAAGGGGGGACGGAGAAGGCUAUGUUAGCCGGGCGACGGUUGUCCCGGUUUAAGCAUGUAGGCUGGUUGUCCAGGCAAAUCCGGAUAAUCAAGGCUGAGGUGUGAUGACGAGGCACUACGGUGCUGAAGUAACAAAUGCCCUGCUUCCAGGAAAAGCCUCUAAGCAUCAGGUAACAUUAAAUCGUACCCCAAACCGACACAGGUGGUCAGGUAGAGAAUACCAAGGCGCUUGAGAGAACUCGGGUGAAGGAACUAGGCAAAAUGGUGCCGUAACUUCGGGAGAAGGCACGCUGGUGUGUAGGUGAAGCCCCUGCGGGUGGAGCUGAGACCAGUCGAAGAUACCAGCUGGCUGCAACUGUUUAUUAAAAACACAGCACUGUGCAAACACGAAAGUGGACGUAUACGGUGUGACGCCUGCCCGGUGCCGGAAGGUUAAUUGAUGGGGUUAUCCGUAAGGAGAAGCUCUUGAUCGAAGCCCCGGUAAACGGCGGCCGUAACUAUAACGGUCCUAAGGUAGCGAAAUUCCUUGUCGGGUAAGUUCCGACCUGCACGAAUGGCGUAAUGAUGGCCAGGCUGUCUCCACCCGAGACUCAGUGAAAUUGAACUCGCUGUGAAGAUGCAGUGUACCCGCGGCAAGACGGAAAGACCCCGUGAACCUUUACUAUAGCUUGACACUGAACAUUGAGCCUUGAUGUGUAGGAUAGGUGGGAGGCUUUGAAGCGUGGACGCCAGUCUGCGUGGAGCCAACCUUGAAAUACCACCCUUUAAUGUUUGAUGUUCUAACGUUGGCCCCUGACCGGGGUUGCGGACAGUGUCUGGUGGGUAGUUUGACUGGGGCGGUCUCCUCCCAAAGCGUAACGGAGGAGCACGAAGGUUAGCUAAUCCUGGUCGGACAUCAGGAGGUUAGUGCAAUGGCAUAAGCUAGCUUGACUGCGAGCGUGACGGCGCGAGCAGGUGCGAAAGCAGGUCAUAGUGAUCCGGUGGUUCUGAAUGGAAGGGCCAUCGCUCAACGGAUAAAAGGUACUCCGGGGAUAACAGGCUGAUACCGCCCAAGAGUUCAUAUCGACGGCGGUGUUUGGCACCUCGAUGUCGGCUCAUCACAUCCUGGGGCUGAAGUAGGUCCCAAGGGUAUGGCUGUUCGCCAUUUAAAGUGGUACGCGAGCUGGGUUUAGAACGUCGUGAGACAGUUCGGUCCCUAUCUGCCGUGGGCGCUGGAGAAUUGAGGGGGGCUGCUCCUAGUACGAGAGGACCGGAGUGGACGCAUCACUGGUGUUCGGGUUGUCAUGCCAAUGGCACUGCCCGGUAGCUAAAUGCGGAAGAGAUAAGUGCUGAAAGCAUCUAAGCACGAAACUUGCCCCGAGAUGAGUUCUCCCUGAGACUAUAAGUCUCCUGAAGGAACGUUAAAGACGAUGACGUUGAUAGGCCGGGUGUGUAAGCGCAGCGAUGCGUUGAGCUAACCGGUACUAAUGAACCGUGAGGCUUAACCUUACAACGCCGAAG
RNAcentral lists this ribosomal RNA (2923 nucleotides) under Klebsiella pneumoniae. RNAcentral's name for it is "23S ribosomal RNA". It matches the Rfam family "Bacterial large subunit ribosomal RNA". The record is from RNAcentral. Lineage: Bacteria; Pseudomonadati; Pseudomonadota; Gammaproteobacteria; Enterobacterales; Enterobacteriaceae.